AUUUUACUUUGCUUUCUAAAAUCUUUUAACCCUUUUAAUAGAAUAUUCUAAAAUCUUUUUAUAUUUUUACUGGUUUCUAAAACAACGAUUGAAAUACAAAUAGUGAUAGAAUAAUACCUUUAUUUCCAUCACGAAGAUCUCAUCAAAUUUUACAUUCUGUUUCAAUAUUAGAUGACUCAACAUAGGCCUCAUUUCUUUAAAGUCAUGCCUUUCUAUUUAGAGGGACUAAACAUUGUGUAUAUGGAUUUGACCUGUUUAACUUAGUGUUCUUGAACUCCUUUGGCAUGUUAACAUAAGAAUGAAAGUUAAAUCUGAAUAUUUCUUCCGUAACCUAAUUGAGUGAGAAAAGUUUGAAUCACCUAACUUCAUAAAAAAGUGAAAGAUUUAAAUUUUGAUCAUUUAGAAAAUAUGAAAAUAUAAAAUAGUAAGCUACAGAAAUAAUUAAAGGUUAUGUUUAACGAAAAUAAAGGAACAUUCUGUGAUUCACCAGGAAACAGUAGAUAGACUUUUUCCAAGUAUUGGCUCUUCUGCCUUGUAAAAGUUCAUUAGGGGGAAACAAAUGACUACAGGAGAUAGGUCAUAGAAAAGUGGUACCCAUUCUAGGCCUUCACUAAUAUGUUUCCUGAUUAUAUGGGCUUUCUUAGGAAGAAAGUUGGGUUGUCUAUUUCAGUGACCUUUCUUUAAACUUCAUGUUUUAGAUUUAAUGUAAUUUGAGGUACUUUUAAAUGCUGUGAGCCUCCUAGAGUAUUGUAUUAAGAGUUAGCCAUUAGAAAUUUAAUAGAAAACUAGUAGGGAUUACUAGAACAGUGAUGCUAUUCCAAAGAAUUCUCUGGGAACAAGUUAAUUGUUCACCUUGAAUAGAAAAUUUGAAUGUGAACUCAGUGUUCAUAAUAAUAAUCAUUGAUUCAGAGCAACAAAUAGAAAUUUAAAAAUUUGUACUACUUCUGUGUCUUGAUCAUGAAAUAUAUUGAUUUCCAGGAAAGUGAAGAAUAAAACAUUAAAGUAAGUCUAGACUUGCUAGUCUAUCACUUUAUUGGAACAAUACCUUUUUUGUUCCCUCCUACUUAAAGAGGUAUCUUCUUUGUUUUUAAUAUAAAUACUUUCUUUCCCUGGGAUGCCAGUAGUUCUAUUUUUAUGGUAGGUUAGGGAAGAAUACUCACUGUUCAUGUUUGUGUAACCUUUGUCUUAUAGUAGAAUAUGAAUUAUUUGUCAAUUUCUUCUAGUGUUAAUAAUCAGUAACUGUAGAGUUGAAAGGCUUAUAAAGUUGGAUAGUAGAGGAGAAAGAGUAUUUUCUGUAAAAAAAAUAAAUAAAUAAAGAAGGGGCUGGGGUUGUAGCUCAGUGGUAGAGCCCUUGCCUAGCACACGUGAGGCACUGAGUUCGAUCCUCAAAACCACAUAAAAAUAAAUAAAUAAAUAAAUAAUAAUGGGCGGAGUGGAUAUUAGUCAUAUUUAUCUUUAAAAUCACAACCACACUUAUCAUUCAAUUGCAUUUCAUGAUAUGAAAAAACAUAUAUUUUCUGCUAAACUUCCCUAGCUCUUUGCUGCUAUACUUCCUGGUGAGCUUUGCUAGCUUGAAAUUUAUCAGCUAAGAUCUUUUCCUUCAUUAUUGUUAUAAGCCAGUAGAGCUUAUUUUCUAAAGAAGUUAUGUAAUUACUAGUAGCUCUUAGGAUUUAUAGUCGUCUGGGUAGGUAGUUGAUAUGGGGAGGAUAUAGAAAACAGUUUGUUAAGCAUUUACUGUAUGGUAGUGUAAAAGAGUAGGAAAAACUUUUCCUACACUUAGUUUUUAUUUCUGACA
Molecule: long non-coding RNA, 1795 nt
Filed under: Marmota monax (woodchuck)
Lineage: Eukaryota; Metazoa; Chordata; Mammalia; Rodentia; Sciuridae
Source: RNAcentral